Molecule: non-coding RNA, 150 nt
Filed under: marine eukaryotic metagenome
Description: FMN riboswitch (RFN element)
Rfam family: FMN riboswitch aptamer (RFN element)
About the family: The RFN element is a highly conserved domain that is found frequently in the 5'-untranslated regions of prokaryotic mRNAs that encode for flavin mononucleotide (FMN) biosynthesis and transport proteins.
Source: RNAcentral
ACCUUCGGGGCGGGGUGGAAAUCCUCACCGGCGGUAAACUCAGUUUAGCUGGGUAAAGCCCGCGACCCGGGUGAAUAAAGUAUUUUGUUCAUUCCGGUUGAUCCGGUCAAAGUCCGGAGCCGACAGUUAUAGUCUGGAUGGAAGAAGGUG